Long non-coding RNA from Pipra filicauda (Wire-tailed manakin), 236 nucleotides. RefSeq lists it as uncharacterized. The record is from RefSeq and is a predicted model, not a curated record. Lineage: Eukaryota; Metazoa; Chordata; Aves; Passeriformes; Pipridae. The transcript has 2 exons.
CAACCGCGCCUCCUGCGCGGGACCGCCGGGAGAGCACGGGAGGCACCGCCAAGGCGCAGGAAGGGGCGGCGCCUGCGGGCGGGGCCGGGCCGGGCCGGGCGCCAGCGCCGCUCGCUGCGCUCUGGGGCGAGCCCGUGAGCAUACCAAGAAAACAGCUUAACUGGAUGCAGAACCUUGAUCCACUUCGGACACUGUAAGCUACUUAACUAGAGUAAAUAACAGAGUAAUGGAACACA